This is a non-coding RNA of Ailuropoda melanoleuca (giant panda), 91 nucleotides long. NCBI's taxonomy places the organism in Eukaryota, Metazoa, Chordata, Mammalia, Carnivora, Ursidae. The record is from Rfam.
GCCUGGGUGGCUCAGUCGGUUGAGCACCUGACUCUUAGUUUCAGCUCAGGUCGUGAUCUCAGGGUUGUGAGAUCGAGCCCCACAUCAGGCU